GGAAACUUGUGCUAAUACCGCAUAACGUAUACUGACCGCAUGAUUGGUAUAACCAAAGUAUUUAUUGUAACAAAGAGUGGGCUCGCGUCUGAUUAGAUAGUUGGUGAGGUAACGGCUCACCAAGUCGACGAUCAGUAGCCGGACUGAGAGGUUGAACGGCCACAUUGGAACUGAGACACGGCCCAGACUCCGUACGGGGAGGCAGCAGUGGGGGAUAUUGCACAAUGGAGGAAACUCUGAUGCAGCAACGCCGCGUGAGGGAAGAAGGUUUUCGGAUUGUAAACCUCUGUUUUAGUGAAGAAACAAAUGACGGUAGCUAAAGAGGAAGCCACGGCUAACUACGUG
RNAcentral lists this ribosomal RNA (345 nucleotides) under uncultured bacterium. RNAcentral's name for it is "bacterial SSU rRNA". It matches the Rfam family "Bacterial small subunit ribosomal RNA", at positions 152 to 507 of the family's 1533-position model. The record is from RNAcentral.